GUAGUAGCCAAAGGCCUGGGGCUAAGCAAAGCUUAUGUAGGCCAGAAGAGCAACUUCACAGUAGAUUGCAGCAAAGCAGGUGAGUAGCCCUGUUUUUAGCUUCUGGAAGUGAAAAAUCCAGAAAUAACACGAUGGUCACCAUAGCACCCACAUUGCAGCUCACAACUAUCUGUAAUUCUAGUUCCAUGGGAUCUGUUGUAGAAAUUAUUUAAUCCCUGUCCAGGGUUUCUACCCCACCUUAGACCAUUUUAGUUCCCAGAUAAAGAAUACACACAAUCUUUAUACUUACAAUAAACCUUAAACAACAAAAGAGCUUGGAAGAUACUACUCUCUAUUGUUAGACUCUACUUUCCUAUGGAUAAUCCCAAGUUAUUACUUACUAUGUUUAUCUGGGCUGCUCUUAACUCCAAUUGGGCAGCCCUCAGGGUCCUUGACUUCAGCUCAUGGUGGCUUCUCCUUCCUCCUCCUCCUCUACUUUCUUGCACAGAUAUACAUAUAGACAAAAUACCAAUGUCCUAGAGGAGCUGGAAUUUAUCCUCUGGUGGCCUGGGUGGCAAGGCUGGAGUAUGACAAGCUUGCUUGGGCAUGUUAAUAAUCAGGCAAGGGACAGAAGGUGGAAUAGUGAGAAGGGCUCAGAGCAAGUAAAGCCAAAGAAAGUAUCUAAGGCCACUAAGACCUAUUCCUUCCUAUCUUAGGUAACAACAUGUUGCUGGUGGGCGUGCAUGGCCCAAGGACACCCUGUGAAGAGAUCCUGGUGAAACACAUGGGCAGUCGCCUCUAUAGUGUCUCCUACCUGCUCAAAGACAAAGGGGAAUACACAUUGGUGGUCAAGUGGGGUGAUGAGCAUAUCCCAGGCAGCCCAUACCGCAUUAUGGUGCCCUGAGCUUGCCACUUUGCCAGCCAGAAGCUCCCAUGGCAAUGAGCAUCCCCAUACCUGUCUUAUCCCCCA
This 949-nucleotide long non-coding RNA is filed under the name Rattus norvegicus (Norway rat). RNAcentral describes it as "long non-coding RNA NONRATT000898". The record is from RNAcentral. Lineage: Eukaryota; Metazoa; Chordata; Mammalia; Rodentia; Muridae.